UACAGAGGGGGCAAGCGUUAUUCGGAAUUAUUGGGCGUAAAGGGCGCGUAGGCGGCUUGGCAAGUGGAUGGUGAAAUCCCUCGGCUUAACCGAGGAACUGCCGUCCAAACUGCUUCGCUUGAGACCGGGAGAGGUGAGUGGAAUUCCCAGUGUAGCGGUGAAAUGCGUAGAUAUUGGGAGGAACACCAGUGGCGAAGGCGGCUCACUGGACCGGUACUGACGCUGAAGCGCGAAAGCGUGGGGAGCAAACGGG
Molecule: ribosomal RNA, 253 nt
Filed under: uncultured bacterium
Lineage: Bacteria
Description: partial 16S ribosomal RNA
Rfam family: Bacterial small subunit ribosomal RNA
Source: RNAcentral